AAAUUCCCAAUGGUUAGAAUAACAUAAUACACAAGAACUAAAACUUAAUAGCAAUGCGAAAUAUGUAUCUAUCCACAACAAUAUUAUCUUGAAUGAAUCACCUUAUCUCUCCUCUUCGAAUAAGGAUUGAAGAAAUUACGCGUUUGCAACCGCGGGGACAAUCUCUCUCUCCAACAAACAAUGAAGAAAUCAAUUCAAUUCAUACAAUGUCUAACAAUUAUAAAUGAAAAUGCGGAAGCGCGAAGAUCACUAAGGACUUUUCGGUUGUAGCUUGGUUAGGUUUACAAACAAGGGUCAUUUCUAAGGCCAUUGAAAACGAAAUUGCCGAUGCAAAAGAGACAUUCACUGUACACUAUUCACACAUCUCAACUUCGUUCCAUUUGUUUCUCAUUUGAAACCUUCACAACUCUUAUUUCACAACUCAAUUU
RNAcentral lists this long non-coding RNA (428 nucleotides) under Lathyrus oleraceus (garden pea). Its description in RNAcentral is "Pisum sativum (pea) long non-coding RNA (PSAT_LNC022844)". Lineage: Eukaryota; Viridiplantae; Streptophyta; Magnoliopsida; Fabales; Fabaceae. The record is from RNAcentral.